UUGUCAUGCCAAUGGCACUGCCCGGUAGCUAAAUGCGGAAGAGAUAAGUGCUGAAAGCAUCUAAGCACGAAACUUGCCCCGAGAUGAGUUCUCCCUGAGACUUUAAGUCUCCUGAAGGAACGUUAAAGACGAUGACGUUGAUAGGCCGGGUGUGUAAGCGCAGCGAUGCGUUGAGCUAACCGGUACUAAUGAACCGUGAGGCUUAACCUUACAACGCCGAAG
Molecule: ribosomal RNA, 222 nt
Filed under: Klebsiella pneumoniae
Lineage: Bacteria; Pseudomonadati; Pseudomonadota; Gammaproteobacteria; Enterobacterales; Enterobacteriaceae
Description: partial 23S ribosomal RNA
Rfam family: Bacterial large subunit ribosomal RNA
Source: RNAcentral